Pelobates cultripes (western spadefoot toad) is the source of this 215-nucleotide non-coding RNA. Lineage: Eukaryota; Metazoa; Chordata; Amphibia; Anura; Pelobatidae. The record is from the annotation of a GenBank genome assembly.
CCAAUAAUAAACAGCCUUACAGCUGCUUAAUCUAUUCUAUAGUAAAUGAUAACGAAGUAAAUGUAAAUCAGAUGUGAGAUGACGCACAUUCUUCCUACAUGCGUAUAUAGAAUGGAAAUGAUAAUUAAUGAUUCAGUAAAGUAAUGUGUUUCUAAGACAGUGUUCAACCUCAUAUGGCAUAGACAAUAACUGCUUUUUAUAGGUCACUCAAGUGG